AGGUCGGAGUGUGUGAAGGUCGGAGUGUGUGAAGGUCUGAAGGUCAGAGUGUGUGAAGGUCUGAAGGUCAGAGUGUGUGAAGGUCUGAAGGUCAGAGUGUGUGAAGGUCAGAUGGUGUCACAGGUCUGAAGGUCAGAGUGUGUGAAGGUCGGAGUGUGUGAAGGUCGGAGUGUGUGAAGGUCUGAAGGUCAGAGUGUGUGAAGGUCUGAAGGUCAGAGUGUCUGAAGGUCAGAGUGUCUGAAGGUCAGAGUGUCUGAAGGUCUGAAGGUCAGAGUGUCUGAAGGUCAGUGUCUGAAGGUCUGAAGGUC
Molecule: non-coding RNA, 308 nt
Organism: Gasterosteus aculeatus aculeatus (three-spined stickleback)
Lineage: Eukaryota; Metazoa; Chordata; Actinopteri; Perciformes; Gasterosteidae
Source: RefSeq, a predicted model, not a curated record